RNAcentral lists this transfer RNA (68 nucleotides) under Takydromus septentrionalis. RNAcentral's name for it is "tRNA-Pro". The record is from RNAcentral. Lineage: Eukaryota; Metazoa; Chordata; Lepidosauria; Squamata; Lacertidae.
CAGAAGAUAGUUUAGUAAAAAUACUAGUUUUGGGGAUUAGUGAUGAUGGAUUUAACCUUCUCUUCUGA